Molecule: ribosomal RNA, 253 nt
Filed under: uncultured bacterium
Lineage: Bacteria
Description: partial 16S ribosomal RNA
Rfam family: Bacterial small subunit ribosomal RNA
Source: RNAcentral
UACGUAGGGUGCAAGCGUUAAUCGGAAUUACUGGGCGUAAAGCGUGCGCAGGCGGUUUUUCAAGACAGAUGUGAAAUCCCCGGGCUUAACCUGGGAAUGGCAUUUGUGACUGGAAGGCUAGAGUGUGUCAGAGGGGGGUAGAAUUCCACGUGUAGCAGUGAAAUGCGUAGAGAUGUGGAGGAAUACCGAUGGCGAAGGCAGCCCCCUGGGAUAACACUGACGCUCAUGCACGAAAGCGUGGGGAGCAAACAGG